GACGAACGCUGGCGGCGUGCCUAAUACAUGCAAGUUGAGCGCUGAAGGUUGGUACUUGUACCAACUGGAUGAGCAGCGAACGGGUGAGUAACGCGUGGGGAAUCUGCCUUUGAGCGGGGGACAACAUUUGGAAACGAAUGCUAAUACCGCAUAAAAACUUUAAACACAAGUUUUAAGUUUGAAAGAUGCAAUUGCAUCACUCAAAGAUGAUCCCGCGUUGUAUUAGCUAGUUGGUGAGGUAAAGGCUCACCAAGGCGAUGAUACAUAGCCGACCUGAGAGGGUGAUCGGCCACAUUGGGACUGAGACACGGCCCAAACUCCUACGGGAGGCAGCAGUAGGGAAUCUUCGGCAAUGGACGAAAGUCUGACCGAGCAACGCCGCGUGAGUGAAGAAGGGUUUCGGAUCGUAAAACUCUGUUGGUAGAGAAGAACGUUUGUGAGAGUGGAAAGCUCAUCAAGUGACGGUAACUACCCAGAAAGGGACGGCUAACUACGUG
This 497-nucleotide ribosomal RNA is filed under the name uncultured bacterium. RNAcentral describes it as "partial 16S ribosomal RNA". It matches the Rfam family "Bacterial small subunit ribosomal RNA", at positions 28 to 507 of the family's 1533-position model. The record is from RNAcentral.